RNAcentral lists this ribosomal RNA (495 nucleotides) under uncultured bacterium. RNAcentral describes it as "partial 16S ribosomal RNA". It matches the Rfam family "Bacterial small subunit ribosomal RNA", at positions 30 to 507 of the family's 1533-position model. The record is from RNAcentral.
UGAACGCUGGCGGCGUGCCUAAUACAUGCAAGUCGAGCGAACAGACGAGGAGCUUGCUCCUCUGACGUUAGCGGCGGACGGGUGAGUAACACGUGGAUAACCUACCUAUAAGACUGGGAUAACUUCGGGAAACCGGAGCUAAUACCGGAUAAUAUAUUGAACCGCAUGGUUCAAUAGUGAAAGACGGUUUUGCUGUCACUUAUAGAUGGAUCCGCGCCGCAUUAGCUAGUUGGUAAGGUAACGGCUUACCGAGGCAACGAUGCGUAGCCGACCUGAGAGGGUGAUCGGCCACACUGGAACUGAGACACGGUCCAGACUCCUACGGGAGGCAGCAGUAGGGAAUCUUCCGCAAUGGGCGAAAGCCUGACGGAGCAACGCCGCGUGAGUGAUGAAGGUCUUCGGAUCGUAAAACUCUGUUAUUAGGGAAGAACAAAUGUGUAAGUAACUAUGCACGUCUUGACGGUACCUAAUCAGAAAGCCACGGCUAACUACGUG